GUCUAUGGCCAUGCCACCCUGAACAAGCUCAAUCCCAUCUGAACUCGGAAGCUAAGCACAGUCGGUCCUGGUUAGUACUUGGAUGGGAGACCACCUAGGAAGACCAGGUGCUGUAGGCA
Molecule: ribosomal RNA, 119 nt
Filed under: Pteropus alecto (black flying fox)
Lineage: Eukaryota; Metazoa; Chordata; Mammalia; Chiroptera; Pteropodidae
Source: RNAcentral